Molecule: ribosomal RNA, 412 nt
Filed under: Pseudomonas sp. HMSC066A08
Lineage: Bacteria; Pseudomonadati; Pseudomonadota; Gammaproteobacteria; Pseudomonadales; Pseudomonadaceae
Description: bacterial LSU rRNA
Rfam family: Bacterial large subunit ribosomal RNA
Source: RNAcentral
UCGAGCAGGUACGAAAGUAGGUCUUAGUGAUCCGGUGGUUCUGUAUGGAAGGGCCAUCGCUCAACGGAUAAAAGGUACUCCGGGGAUAACAGGCUGAUACCGCCCAAGAGUUCAUAUCGACGGCGGUGUUUGGCACCUCGAUGUCGGCUCAUCACAUCCUGGGGCUGAAGCCGGUCCCAAGGGUAUGGCUGUUCGCCAUUUAAAGUGGUACGCGAGCUGGGUUUAGAACGUCGUGAGACAGUUCGGUCCCUAUCUGCCGUGGACGUUUGAGAUUUGAGAGGGGCUGCUCCUAGUACGAGAGGACCGGAGUGGACGAACCUCUGGUGUUCCGGUUGUCACGCCAGUGGCAUUGCCGGGUAGCUAUGUUCGGAAAAGAUAACCGCUGAAAGCAUCUAAGCGGGAAACUUGCCUC